CCUACGGGAGGCAGCAGUGGGGAAUAUUGCGCAAUGGGCGAAAGCCUGACGCAGCGACGCCGCGUGAGGGAUGAAGGUCUUCGGAUCGUAAACCUCUGUCAGCAGGGAAGAACGGUCACUGUGCUAAUCAGCAGUGAAUUGACGGUACCUGCAAAGGAAGCACCGGCUAACUCCGUGCCAGCAGCCGCGGUAAUACGGAGGGUGCGAGCGUUAAUCGGAAUUACUGGGCGUAAAGCGCUCGUAGGCGGUAUGUCAAGUCAAGGGUGAAAUCCCCGCGCUCAACGUGGGAACUGCCUUUGAAACUGUCAAACUGGAGUGUGUGAGAGGAUAGUGACAUGCCAGGUUUAGCAGUUAAAUCCGUAGAUAUCUGGAGGAACCUCAGUAGCGAAGGCGACUAUCUGGCACAUAACUGACGCUGAGGAGCGAAAGCGUGGGUAGCAAACAGGAUUAGAUACCCGUGUAGUC
RNAcentral lists this ribosomal RNA (465 nucleotides) under uncultured bacterium. Its description in RNAcentral is "partial 16S ribosomal RNA". It matches the Rfam family "Bacterial small subunit ribosomal RNA", at positions 338 to 795 of the family's 1533-position model. The record is from RNAcentral.